This 120-nucleotide ribosomal RNA is filed under the name uncultured bacterium. Its description in RNAcentral is "partial 16S ribosomal RNA". It matches the Rfam family "Bacterial small subunit ribosomal RNA", at positions 30 to 147 of the family's 1533-position model. The record is from RNAcentral.
AUUGAACGCUGGCGGCAUGCUUUACACAUGCAAGUCGAACGGUAACAGGGAGCUUGCUCCGCUGACGAGUGGCGAACGGGUGAGUAAUGCAUCGGAACGUACCCAGUCGUGGGGGAUAAC